RNAcentral lists this ribosomal RNA (253 nucleotides) under uncultured bacterium. RNAcentral describes it as "partial 16S ribosomal RNA". It matches the Rfam family "Bacterial small subunit ribosomal RNA", at positions 524 to 776 of the family's 1533-position model. The record is from RNAcentral.
UACGGGGGGUGCGAGCGUUGUCCGGAAUCACUGGGCGUAAAGGGCGCGUAGGCGGGAUGGCAAGUCGGUCGUGAAAUCCCUCGGCUCAACCGAGGAACGUCGAUCGAUACUGCUGUUCUUGAGGAUUGCAGAGGAGACUGGAAUUCCCGGUGUAGCGGUGAAAUGUGUAGAGAUCGGGAGGAACACCGGUGGCGAAGGCGGGUCUCUGGGCAAUUCCUGACGCUGAGGCGCGAAAGCGUGGGGAGCAAACGGG